UACGUAGGGGGCAAGCGUUGUCCGGAAUCAUUGGGCGUAAAGCGCGUGUAGGCGGUUCGGUAAGUCUGCUGUGAAAGUCCAGGGCUCAACCCUGGGACUGCGGUGGAUACUGUCGGACUAGAGUGCGGAAGAGGCGAGUGGAAUUCCCGGUGUAGCGGUGAAAUGCGCAGAUAUCGGGAGGAACACCAAUUGCGAAGGCAGGUCGCUGGGCCGUUACUGACGCUGAGACGCGAAAGCGUGGGGAGCAAACAGG
This 253-nucleotide ribosomal RNA is filed under the name uncultured bacterium. RNAcentral's name for it is "partial 16S ribosomal RNA". It matches the Rfam family "Bacterial small subunit ribosomal RNA", at positions 524 to 776 of the family's 1533-position model. The record is from RNAcentral.